This is a non-coding RNA of Acanthosepion pharaonis, 93 nucleotides long. Lineage: Eukaryota; Metazoa; Mollusca; Cephalopoda; Sepiida; Sepiidae. The record is from the annotation of a GenBank genome assembly.
UACGGCUAUAUCGCAUUGAAACACCAGUUCUCGUACGAUCACCGAAGUUAAACAACGUCAAGCUUGAUCACUACUUAGAUGGGUGACCGCUUG